RNAcentral lists this ribosomal RNA (1857 nucleotides) under Triticum aestivum (bread wheat). RNAcentral describes it as "partial small subunit ribosomal RNA". Lineage: Eukaryota; Viridiplantae; Streptophyta; Magnoliopsida; Poales; Poaceae. The record is from RNAcentral.
GUGGUCCAAGCAUAAGAAAUAAUAGAUGGGAGCUAUGUAGAGGACAAAUAUUGAUAAAUAAAGGAAAAUAGAGCAAAUGAAUUGUACCACUGAACGACCAAAGUAGGAUGUUUUAGUCACUGAAUGUAUAAAUAAAUAAUGCCACUUAAAAUAAUUGUCUUCAAAAUAAAGCUUACAUGACAUUUCAUGUUCCAACCUUAGAUGAAAGAACUCUUAUAAAAUCUGAUAUAAGCAUUCACUUGUAGCUCUUUACAAUUGAUAAUUUCCUUUUGUACGCAAAGAACAUCAAGCGUUAUUUCAAACAAAAAUAAUUUAUCAUUUCCAAAACAAAAGGGAACAUGUAUUUCCACAAAAAAGGCAAUAUGUAAGAAAUUAUUGAUAUUGUUUGCAUGUACCAUUUAGACCCCCAACUGAAAUGAAUGAUGCAGAGAAAUAGUUACUAAAUCCAAUGUGGAGAUCUGCAAAACAGCAAAUGGUGAUGCCAUAAUAUUUAAUUAAAAUGUUCUGUAAAACACUGUCGUAGACCAGGUUUCCAUUUUCAGUACAUAGUCGUCACUGCAAGCAUAUCCAGAAAGAACAAAUUGCAAAAAAUUUGAGUCCAAAACUUCAGGAACUGUAGCAACAUGAGAAGCUAGAAAAGCUCUAGUACUACAGGUUAUAUGCACAAUGAAAUGUAAAGAAAACAAAUACUAACCUUCAUGUUGGCAGACACUGUGAAGUGCAUUGAUAUAAGGAAAAGGACGGACUGAAAACCCAGAAUUAAUUUAGAGGGGUCAGCAACAUGCACAUGUGGAAUAUGAAGAAGUAAUAUUGGAUGGAAGUAGCUAUUUUAGCAGUUAGGGAAAAUACCUAGUACUUAUCCAAACACAUUGGUAUUUCGUUCUUUAUUACUCACCUACAUGACUGAGAAUCACCACACAUGAAAAUAAAAAUAACUGGUAAAAACAUGAAAAUAAAAAUGAUGUACCAUUUUAUAACAUACUGUCUUUGGAGUUCCACAAAUCGACCAUACUGAAUGGAAGCAAAGCAUGGUCAGGAAAGCAACCUGAGGGAUAAUUGGUCGUAAAAGCAGAGCAUGAUAGUGAAGAAUGGUUGUAGUGGCUGCACUCACUAUAGCCUGGAGGGGCCGAUGCAAAUCAUUUCCCAAAUUGAGGCACCGGUGACAUUUAAAACAUGAUAAAAGUCUGUAAUACUGGUCGUAACAGCGGAGCAUGAUAGUGAAGAAUUGUUGUAGAGGAUGCACUCAGUAUAACCGGAGGGGUCGGUGCAUAACAGGAGAUUGAAAGCAUUUCCCAAAUUGAGGCGCUGGUGACAUUUAAAAGAUGAUAAACUAGUAAUACUCAUCAGACAUAAUUGAAGAUCCUGAUUUACACCAAAAAAUUCAAGCUGAUGUAUAUACAGAACAUAAACAGCUACAUGGAAGCCACCGCACACAAAUAGACUAAGAGAGAGAGAGAGAGAGAGAGAGAGAGAGAGAGAGAGGGACGGAGGGAGAGAGAGAGAGAGUCCGUCCCAGCAGGCAGUAGCGAUUAAGCUCUUGAGCGGGUCUGGAACCCAUUAGGUGCGGCGGCAGAUGGGGACUGUUGUGUAGCGGCCGUGAUCCGGCCGGGCGGAGGACGGCUAGAACAACCUUCUCGGCGGGGCUGCUGCUUGGAUCUUGAACGACGGCAGACAGCAAGCAUGAUAUUGCUUCGAUCCUACACGGUGAGGAUGUACUCCAUGGUUGGGUGGGCUACGGAAACAGGGGAGCAUCGUGUUGAAGAAGAUCAAGUGGAGGGGCGAGAGAAUGGGAAGAGACAGGGAUGCGGAUAGCGAUUAGCGGGGGAGAGCGAGGUCGUUCGUCUUCUAAUAGAUAAU